This is a long non-coding RNA of Brassica oleracea var. oleracea, 1076 nucleotides long. RefSeq lists it as uncharacterized. The record is from RefSeq and is a predicted model, not a curated record. Lineage: Eukaryota; Viridiplantae; Streptophyta; Magnoliopsida; Brassicales; Brassicaceae. The transcript is spliced from 3 exons.
ACCUUAUCCUCCUAAAGGUUUGGUGGACGAUUCAAAGAUCAAUUAUGCUGAUGUAUUGGUCUUUAUGGGGCUAUUCUAGAACUGUGCUUUUGAUCCGUCGCCUCUUUUGCUUGGCAUAUUUUUUAACACAAAACAAUGCCAAAGGUUUUAUGUUUGGUCGGUCUCCAACUCAUAAAACUUUUUAUUUACUGCGACAAUCGAAACCAAGAAACUGUUGAGAAUCCCUCCACUUUUCAUUUAUUUAUACCCAUUUUCACAUUUUCUUCCCCACGCCAAAAUAUUGAAAACCGUAUAACUUCAGAAAAUGGCUUUCAGAUCUGCAAAAUCCAUCGGGAAGGCUACAAGGAGGUUUUCUUUCUCCAAAAUUUGUUUUAGGGUUAUUGGAAAUUUGGCUUUUCUAGAAAAAGCUUCCAUUGAUUUUGCAGAUUUCCUUACAGAAGCAGACUAAUUGUCUUCAUUCCUCUCAAGUUUUCCAUAUCUGGUGUUGUCAUUGAAUGUAAUCUCUCUUCUCUUUUUGUUUUAAAGUAUUAGUAAGAAGAAAUAGUUCUUUAUUGUUGUGUGCAGGUUACAAUUGAGAAGAUCCAAGGAGCCAUUUAUUUAAGAUGAAAAUAAGGUCAAUACUUUCCAAGGAGGAUAGCUUCAGACGCCUACUGAGCAAUGGUUAUUUAGACGAAUAUAAUGAAGAUGAAAUGAGCUUAGAUGUUAACAGGGAUUAGAGUAUUGGUCUAGGAGGUUCAACUGAUUCCAUUGGUGAAUCAGGUGGAUGGAUGGUUCGGAAGAGAAUGCACACUUGCCAGUUCCUGCAACAAAGAAGGUGAAUUGAUGAUCAAACAGAGAGAGGUGAAACAUUGACACCACUUCUGAACAUGUACAAAGAAAUGCAAUUCUGUGAGGAUUCAAAGCUUAUGAAAGUUUUCUUAGAAGUAGUGAGAUCGCUCUAUGAACUUUUAGCUGCAUUGAUAGAUGAGAAAAAGUGGAUACAUAUUGUUGUGUAUUGGUCCUUGCCUAAAAGAACUUUGAGAUGUUUGCUAUGUUUUUUCAUCAGAUUAAAGGGUCAAUUAUACCGUUAAGACAAU